AGUAACGCGUGAGAUCUGCCUUGGGGUCGGGGACAACCACUGGAAACGGUGGCUAAUACCGGAUAAGCCUUUGGGUACAAAAUUUAUUGCCCCAAGAGGAGCUCGCGUCUGAUUAGCUAGUUGGUGAGGUAAAAGCUCACCAGUGCAGCGAUCAGUAGCUGGUCUGAGAGGACGAUCAGCCACACUGGGACUGAGACACGGNCCAGACUCCUACGGGAGGCAGCAGUGGGGAAUUUUCCGCAAUGGGCGAAAGCCUGACGGAGCAAGACCGCGUGAGGGAGGAAGGCUCUUGGGUUGUAAACCUCUAUUCUCAGGGAAGAAGCUCUGACGGUACCUGAGGAAUCAGCCUCGGAUAACUCCCGUGCCAAGCAAGCCGAGGUAAUACGGAGGAGGCAAGCGUUAUCCGGAAUUAUUGGGCGUCAAGCGUACGCAAGUGGCGAUUCAAGUCGGCGGUCAAAGCACGGGGCUAAACUCCGUUAAGGCAGUGGAAACUGAAUAGCUAGAGUGCUGUAGGGGUAGAGGAAUUCCCCGGUGUAGCGGUGAAAUGCGUAGAGAUCGGGAAGAACAUCGGUGCCGAAAGCGCUCUACUGGACGGCAACUGACACUCAGGGACGAAAGCUAGGGGAGCGAAUGGGAUUAGAUACCCCAGUAGUCCUAGCUGUAAACGAUGGAUACUAGGUGUAGCUUGUAUCGACCCGAGCUGUGCCGAAGCUAACGCGUUUAAGUAUCCCGCCUGGGGAGUACGCACGCAAGUGUGAAACUCAAAGGAAUUGACGGGGGCCCGCACAAGCGGUGGAGUAUGUGGUUUAAUUCGAUGCAACGCGAAGAACCCUACCAGGGCUUGACAUGUCCGGAAUCCCGGUGAAAGCUGGGAGUGCCUUCGGGAGCCGGAACACAGGUGGUGCAUGGCUGUCGUCAGCUCGUGUCGUGAGAUGUUGGGUUAAGUCCCGCAACGAGCGCAACCCUCGUCUUUAGUUGCCAGCAUUAAGUUGGGCACUCUAGAGAGACUGCCGGUGACAAACCGGAGGAAGGUGGGGAUGACGUCAAGUCAGCAUGCCCCUUACGCUCUGGGCGACACACGUACUACAAUGGUCGGGACAGAGGGCAGCGAACCUGCGAAGGCAAGCUAAUCCCAGC
RNAcentral lists this ribosomal RNA (1137 nucleotides) under uncultured organism. Its description in RNAcentral is "bacterial SSU rRNA". It matches the Rfam family "Bacterial small subunit ribosomal RNA", at positions 109 to 1278 of the family's 1533-position model. The record is from RNAcentral.